This 497-nucleotide ribosomal RNA is filed under the name uncultured bacterium. RNAcentral's name for it is "partial 16S ribosomal RNA". It matches the Rfam family "Bacterial small subunit ribosomal RNA", at positions 28 to 507 of the family's 1533-position model. The record is from RNAcentral.
GACGAACGCUGGCGGCGUGUCUAAUACAUGCAAGUAGAACGCUGAAGAGAGGAGCUUACUCUUCUUGGAUGAGUUGCGAACGGGUGAGUAACGCGUAGGUAACCUGCCUUGUAGCGGGGGAUAACUAUUGGAAACGAUAGCUAAUACCGCAUAACAAUGGAUGACACAUGUCAUUUAUUUGAAAGGGGCAAUUGCUCCACUACAAGAUGGACCUGCGUUGUAUUAGCUAGUAGGUGAGGUAAUGGCUCACCUAGGCGUCGAUACGUAGCCGACCUGAGAGGGGGAUCUGCCUCGCUGGGCCGGGAACACGGCCCGGACCCCUGCGAGUGGGAGACGUAGGGGACCUUCGGCGAAGGGGGCAGUGCUGACCGAGGGACGCCGCGUGAGUGACGAAGGCAUUCGGGUCGUGAAGGUCUGUAAUGAGUCAGGGUCGGGUGUGAGAGUGGAAAGUUCACAUUGUGACGGUAGCUUAACAGAAAGGGACGGCUAACUACGUG